This 117-nucleotide ribosomal RNA is filed under the name uncultured bacterium. RNAcentral's name for it is "partial 16S ribosomal RNA". It matches the Rfam family "Bacterial small subunit ribosomal RNA", at positions 1367 to 1482 of the family's 1533-position model. The record is from RNAcentral.
UACGUUCCCGGGCCUUGUACACACCGCCCGUCACACCAUGGGAGUCGGUAGGACCCGACGGCCCCGUGCCAACCGUAAGGGGGUAAGGGUCUAAGGUCAGCUCGAUGACUGGGGGUG